Molecule: non-coding RNA, 105 nt
Filed under: Rhizobacter gummiphilus
Lineage: Bacteria; Pseudomonadati; Pseudomonadota; Betaproteobacteria; Burkholderiales; Sphaerotilaceae
Description: TPP sequence
Rfam family: TPP riboswitch aptamer (THI element)
About the family: Vitamin B(1) in its active form thiamin pyrophosphate (TPP) is an essential coenzyme that is synthesised by coupling of pyrimidine and thiazole moieties in bacteria. The previously detected thiamin-regulatory element, thi box was extended, resulting in a new, highly conserved RNA secondary structure, the THI element, which is widely distributed in eubacteria and also occurs in some archaea.
Source: Rfam by way of RNAcentral
GGCCUUCGCUGGGGGUGUUGAACGCGGUCCAUCGCGCUCGACUGAGAGAGUCCCUUUGAACCUGAUUGAGGUAAUCCUCGCGCAGGGAAGCGUCUGCCGAGGGGC